UACAGUCUCAAUAUUACUGAUUUUAUUUCUUUCUCAUAAUCCCUUAUUUUCUUGGUCGGUGAAGUUCAUUAUGGAUGUUGUCAAUCAUGAGCACUUGUCGUCGCCAUUGCCAUAGUGAAAAGAAGAAGAGGAGAAAGAAUGGAAGAAGAAGAAGAAGAUAUUUAAGGUUAAAUUAUGAAAAGAGAGUUUAAACACAGAGUGACCUUUUUACUCUUGGCAAUGCAUGGCUUGUACAUAGGGAGGUAAAAAGCUCACAGGAUUCCGGUGCCUCCUCCGCCACCCGACGUGAACACUUGGCCGGCGAUCCACGGACGGAAGGGUACGCAACUGGAAAUGGAAGGAAAAUGAAACAACAAAUCAUUCUUCAGAUAAUAAACAGACAAUGAUUAGUUCAUGCUGAAAGAAAGAUCAAAAGCUACGUUUGUUGGGAAGGUGGUCGGCGAGGAGAUCAUGGCGAACAAUGUUCGAUCGUAUGUCACCUCGCUGGUGAUCGGUGGCGUUGGCUCCGCGUGAAAGCUCUCACUGUUUCUCUAUCCCAAAACAAUGUCACCGGUAGGUACAGUAAAAUAGGCAUUUGUCCGUCGCAUCGAAAACAAUGUCAUCGACAGGUCUUUUUAAAAGGAUGUUUAUACUUCGUGUUGCGUCAAUCCACGAGACGACUGAUCUGAUCCGAUCAGAAUAAUGUUGAUCACGAAUACCAUGCGUCCGACACCUCAGUAAUAUAUUUGAAUAUGGAUAGCACGCGUUUGGCACCUCAAUAAAAUACCUACAACAAAUAUUAUAACGGAGGAAAAAGCACUCAAAAUAUAAUGCAAAUUAACUUAUCAACGUUUGUAAGGUUUUAAAAAUAUAUAUAUAUAUAUAUAUAUAUAUAUAUAUAUAUAUAUAUAUAUAUAGUUCGAAAAGAAAAUCAUGUAAAAAAAAAACUUACUUUUUAUACUACUUGGAGUGUAAUUUAAAUAAGCUUAUAAUUUUUUUGCUACAUAUAUAUAUAAAAACAUCGUAAGCUUAUACAAAAAAUACCAUAUACGAGAAAUAUAAAGUAACUUAUUAAUCUUGAUCGAAUUUCAAAAAAACAUUCUUGUUAGUUUGAGAACACAAACACAUAGAAAACUUGACUUUUAUAUCGAUUAGGCUUCUUUUCCAUUGGAUACUUUCAAACUUGGGUUCAAAUUAACUAAAACAGUCGAGACGGACUUAGGAAGGAGACCUCUGCUUCCUCGGUUGCGAACACAAUCCAAUCCACGUCUGAUAAAUAGAAUCUUAGUAUUUAUAUUUAGAUCUGUAUUCCGAUUCCAAUUCUAUGAGCAUCGGAUGCAGACUGUCAUGGACGAGAGUCGAGGAUCUGCUUGCUGCUCCCAUGAUCACAGCUCCCUUGUUCCUCGCAUCCUGCAGAUAGUCCAAAGCUUCCCUGGUUACGACCUCUCCGGGGUUCAGCACCGGAACACGUGGUGGGAACGUGCAGAUGAGCUCGCCACAUAUCUCCCCGAGGCUUUCUCCAUUGUCCACGGUUCCUCUUCUUCGCGAAGAUGGCCUCCCUUGGACUGAGCUCCAGACUAAACCCAGCAAACGGUUUGUGUAAUCACACCACUCCCAACUUGGUUCUGUGAUCGGUUCUCAUCGAGGAACGUCGUCGAGAGAUGUGACAGAGCUGUGAUCAUCCUUUCUAUGUGUUCCAUGGGCGUCCCCCGAUUGAAGACCAAGGUCACAGACCGCAUCCCUGCAAGUUCAGGAAUUACUCCAUGCUCCUCAUAUAGCAGCUCGUUCACCCUGAAGCCUGUCAGUUCUAGCCGUGAGACGCCGACUGUGACACGCAGAGGAUCCAUGUUGGGGAAAUCAGAGGAAAAGCUCGAUGCAUCCAAGAUCGAAAGACCUACAAUGUUGCAAAUAUGGAUCAAGCCACCCGAGUCAUGGAACCAUAAAAUGGACCAAUCAUCUUUUCUUUACUGCAGCACACGGAGACUGAAUCUUUUCUUUCUCGUGAGUGUGAAGUGAGCCCCUUUCUUUCUCUUCGUGUCGUUUAGAAGUUUCAGGUUUUAUUUCUGUACUUUUUCUUGCAUCAUUUCUACUCCCAUGAAAGGAAGAAUCUGUAGCUUUUCUCUCCUACAACUAUUUCUAUCACUAUAUUAUCUACUUAAGAUUAUAAUGUCACUCUGAGAAGAACUUAGAGUGACAAACACAGAGUGACCUGUUUGCUCUUGGCAAUGCAUGGCUUGUCCAUAGGAAGGUAAAAAGCUCACGGGAUUCCGGUGCCUCCUCCGCCACCCGACGUGAACACUUGGCCGGCGAUCCACAGAUGGAAGAGUAC
RNAcentral lists this long non-coding RNA (2308 nucleotides) under Musa acuminata (dwarf banana). RNAcentral's name for it is "long non-coding RNA (MACU_LNC006079)". The record is from RNAcentral. Lineage: Eukaryota; Viridiplantae; Streptophyta; Magnoliopsida; Zingiberales; Musaceae.